Molecule: long non-coding RNA, 2669 nt
Filed under: Oryctolagus cuniculus (rabbit)
Lineage: Eukaryota; Metazoa; Chordata; Mammalia; Lagomorpha; Leporidae
Description: lncRNA (ENSOCUG00000038685.1)
Source: RNAcentral
AAAUAUUUUGAGACAGGACGGGACACAAAUUAUUAUUUUUUCAUUCUGUACAUGCUUUACUCUGCUUUCUGACCCCACACUAUUUAAUGGCUAUAGAAAGGCUUGCAGAAACCCAGGGAAGAGCAUCUUAGUAGUUUAUCAUGUGACAUGUCUCCCUGGAGUAAAAGCCUGGAGACCCAUUUUAACAGAAAGGCAGGGUGAGUGACUUCCUGAGAGCACUUUGAGAAAAUAACACUUGUUUGGGAAUGAAUUCUUCCUUAGUGUUUUCCACCACAGGGAGGGAGGGAGAGUGGGAAAUGUGCUUAGAUUUUCCUAGUGGAAAAUGCAGGUGUUUAAAAUCAGCACUGGGCGCGCUGCUCCUGAGAAUGAGGAAUGAGUUGGUGGUGCCUUUAAGAAGGGACCAGGUAUCCUUGGUGACAGGAAGUCAACAACUCCUAACAUUCCAGUACCGGCCAUCUUCUCAUUCUGCUAUUGCUACUUCCAACAGUUACUUGGCAAGCUGGCAAGCAGGGAGUUCGUUCUCUCACUUGUGAUAGUGACUGAGUAAUAAGAAGUCACUUAAAAGCUGAGUGUUGAUCAUUUAAUAGUGACAGGAUUUUGAUUGAAGACUUUGAAGUUCUGUGGGGUGUUUCCCAAUAUCUCUGGAGCCCUCUGGUCUUCCAAAACCAUCAGAAUGGCAGUACCACUGAGCCCUUCAUCCGAUCCAGCCAAUAAAAAUAAUAUGAUUGCGUGUAACCAGGCAUUGCAUUGCCGACUAGCAGAGAACCAGCAGGAAAUACAAGAUCUGAAAGAGAUAGUUCGUCAUUUCAGCUUCAUCCUCCACCAAGAGGAAAACAAUUAUGGUGAGGGCCGAGAGGUGAUUCAAUCCAGGCUAAGGGAGAAGCCAGCACUUGGAACUCCACAGCUUGAGAAGCUGGCACCUGCCGAGUUCAAGAAAUGCCAUGUAAAUAAGGCACACACCCGCAAGUGGCACCGGCUACGUAAGAAGUCAAGAAAACAGACACAGAUUUGUCAUCUCAGCCUACAUCCCAGAGCCCUCCUCACCCAGCAUGACCCUGACAGCCACUACACACGGGGCUUGCUGGAGCCACUGGUUGUUCACGUCAGGCUGGAAAAGCAUCUUGUCUACAAAUGUAGCCUGGCAAAAGAAAUGAUGCAAAUGAAGGGUGGUUGCUGGGACUUAAUCUGCCCCAGCAGGAUCAGUGGGUGCUUUCCACCUCAAGUAGAGCCUGAGUUGGUACCAGGGCUGGUCAUGGGUGAAUAUUGUUGGUGCAUCGUCAUGAAAGCCACGCUGGUUAUGCAGCAGCAUUAUCCUGGUGGUGGCUGGAUGAUAGUGCUGGAAGAGUACUCAUGGUGCACAAGGUUUGGAGUCUAUGGGAAUUCCCUUGAGGACAGAGUGCCACAUGAAGCCAAACCUGUAUUGUGUGAAAACCGAUCUCUAGCUGAAGGGCAUCGCAUCAUGGCAUGCACACACCUUGCAGAUGCACCUUACAUGUGGCAUGCCUCCUGGGGGGACAAGCUGGAAAUACUGUUCCAGGCCUGGGCCAGGGUCCAGCAGCCCUUAGCCCAGCAGUCCAUCCACUGGAUAGAGGCCAUUGAGGGGUAUGAUACCUCCUCCCAAAAGGAUGAAGUGGUAUCUGCAGAAAGAGCUGAGCUUAUCCCCAGGUAAAUCUACAGAUGGGUUGAGGGUAUUUUUGUAUGGACAUGUGGAGGUGGCAGACACGGAGAGGAGAGAAGUGCCCUGAGAGCCAUUUAUACCACUCAAAGGUCCUCCCAUAAAGACUCUGGGAGCACAUCUUGGAAAAUCCAUGUGCUGAAUCAGGCCCCAAACACUGUGUCCUUAACCUCGCUGGACAACUGCAUAAGUUCCCCUGGGAAUGAACUGCUUCUGUGUGGCAUUCAUAAAGUGAGGAGCCACUCCCUCAGCCCCUCUACUUGUCCCUCAUCCACAUCCCUGCAGUACAGUGACAAAGACAGGGAAUGUCCAAUGCCCUGACACACUCCACAGUGCUCACAGAAAUGGGCACACAGUCCCAAGCUGGUCUGGGGUAUUAAAGUGCUUUAGUUUCAUUGGGACAUUGAGCGCCAAGGGGAUUCUAUUCCCUGAAACUAGACAACUGGCUUCUGGCAAGCUUGUUCUUUCCUGUGCCAAGGGUGCUGGAAGAGGGGCACCAGAGCCCUCUGCUCCUGAUGUGCCUUCUGGCCUUUAGCUGACAGCAUCCUCUGCUCCUGUGUUUCUGUCUAACCCUCUCUAUGUCCUGCUUGGUCUGCCCUAUCUUUGUGAAAACUCACUUUGUCUGAACAAGGGGAAGAUCUAGAUUGGAUGGCUCAUAGAGGAUGGUCCUGUCCCUUUGAUUAACAGACCCUUUCAGACUGCUAGGAAGGUUUGGUGGAACUGGGUUGGAACUGAAUGACCUUAUGCUGAGCCCUCAUCUUUUCCUCCCCUCUUGUCCUGCCCUCUGCAUUCACACCUCAGGGUGUGUGGAGAUCCACCCCCACUGGAAGGGCCAGAUACCAUCGUGCCCAUCCUCAAGGAAGAUGGAUCCUACCUGCUCUGUGGAUUUUGGGCUGAUGAGCCUGAAGCACCAGCCCAGGCCUGGUCUGAGACUGUGAAAUGUACAAUCCAGCAGCCCGUCUGCUGUGCUGAGGCCAUUGUGGGUGAGUCCUCU